AACCUAGCACACCUGCGGUGUGUACCUGCGGAGGGAUCAUUACAGAGUUGCAAAACUCCCCAAACCAUUGUGAACCUUACCUUCAACCGUUGCUUCGGCGGGCGGGCCACAGCGCCCCCCGGGCCCCCCCAGCGGGGCGCCCGCCGGAGGAUACCCAAACUCUUGAUACUUUAUGGCCUCUCUGAGUCUUCUGUACUGAAUAAGUCAAAACUUUCAACAACGGAUCUCAGAUCGGAAGAG
Molecule: unclassified non-coding RNA, 240 nt
Filed under: soil metagenome
Description: partial contains 5.8S ribosomal RNA, internal transcribed spacer 2, and large subunit ribosomal RNA
Source: RNAcentral